AGACGAAGCGUGUGUUAAGCCCUCAAUCAUUAAAAAAACAGGUGAGUGUGCAUUCACACAUUCUUUCCAAAUUGAUUAGGAUAUUUUGAAAAAAAAGAAGUAAGCAAUUUUUCAUUUUGUAUAAACUUUAUUUUUUAUCUUUUUGGUAUUUUUAUUAUCUUUUUUUUUGGAAUUUUUAUAAUAUUUGAUUUUUUGGUACUUUUAAAUAAGAAAAGGAUGACAUA
Molecule: long non-coding RNA, 224 nt
Filed under: Lathyrus oleraceus (garden pea)
Lineage: Eukaryota; Viridiplantae; Streptophyta; Magnoliopsida; Fabales; Fabaceae
Description: Pisum sativum (pea) long non-coding RNA (PSAT_LNC019311)
Source: RNAcentral